UAUAGAUUUAAAUUAAGAAUUUUAAGGAUUAAUAGUUAAGUUCUUUAAACUUAAAAAAAUUGGCGGUAUUUAAAUCUAAUUAGGGGAAUUUGUUUUUUAAUCGAUGAUCCGCGUGAUACCUUACUUUAGUUAAUUAAUUAGUUUAUUUCCGUUAUCAAAUAACUUUUAUAGAAAAUAUUAUGUUGUUGAAACAUUAAAUUAUUUAUUUAAUAGAAUAUUAUUUCAGGUCAAGAUGCUGUUUAUAUUAAAGUUAAAAUGAAUUACAAUAAUUUAUAAUUAUUAUGGAUAUUAAAUUGAAAUAUUUAAUUGAAAGUGGACUUAAUAGUAAAAUAAAAAAUUAUAUUUAUUUGAAUUUAGACUUAAAUAUGU
RNAcentral lists this ribosomal RNA (369 nucleotides) under Corynis crassicornis. RNAcentral's name for it is "partial 12S ribosomal RNA". The record is from RNAcentral. Lineage: Eukaryota; Metazoa; Arthropoda; Insecta; Hymenoptera; Cimbicidae.